GAUGAACGCUGGCGGCGUGCCUAAUACAUGCAAGUCGAGCGAACAGACGAGGAGCUUGCUCCUCUGAUGUUAGCGGCGGACGGGUGAGUAACACGUGGAUAACCUACCUAUAAGACUGGGAUAACUUCGGGAAACCGGAGCUAAUACCGGAUAACAUGUUGAACCGCAUGGUUCAACAGUGAAAGACGGUCUUGCUGUCACUUAUAGAUGGAUCCGCGCCGCAUUAGCUAGUUGGUAAGGUAACGGCUUACCAAGGCAACGAUGCGUAGCCGACCUGAGAGGGUGAUCGGCCACACUGGAACUGAGACACGGUCCAGACUCCUACGGGAGGCAGCAGUAGGGAAUCUUCCGCAAUGGGCGAAAGCCUGACGGAGCAACGCCGCGUGAGUGAAGAAGGUAUUCGGAUCGUAAAACUCUGUUAUUAGGGAAGAACAAAUGUGUAAGUAACUAUGCACGUCUUGACGGUACCUAAUCAGAAAGCCACGGCUAACUACGUG
Molecule: ribosomal RNA, 497 nt
Filed under: uncultured bacterium
Lineage: Bacteria
Description: partial 16S ribosomal RNA
Rfam family: Bacterial small subunit ribosomal RNA
Source: RNAcentral